Molecule: long non-coding RNA, 653 nt
Organism: Onychostruthus taczanowskii (white-rumped snowfinch)
Lineage: Eukaryota; Metazoa; Chordata; Aves; Passeriformes; Passeridae
Exons: 2
Source: RefSeq, a predicted model, not a curated record
GGCUUGCCCAGCUGCACACACCCGCCCUCCCUCGGCCGCCUCCCUCCCCCGGCUGCGCACACACCGCACGCUCGCACCCGCUCGGGUGUCAAACCCCGCCGGGCACCCAGCCUGCUGUGGGCACUGCCCCGGCCCCCCCGGCCCUUCCCAGCGCCGCCGACCGGAGCCUCCCCCGCUUCCAAAUGGCACCAACACUGACCCAGCCCUGGUGCUCUGUGCUGUGGCAUCCCUCUGCAAGGUGGACAGGAGGGCAAGGAGGAGAAGCUGAGAGAAUCUCCAAACUGCUCCCUCUGGCUGCUCCAAGAAGCUGAACUUUCCCUGGAAGCUGUGCCUGGUGCUCCCAGGCCACUGCACCCUUCUCACUUGACUGCCCUGCUGGUAGCUUCACUUUUAGGAUGAAUUAUGCAAGAAAUGCUGUGAAGCAUCAGAAAUGCUGAGGAUUGAGAAGAGUCCUCUCGGUGCACGAACUUGUUUGUGGAUAAAGUCCCACUCACCUGGAUUCCAGCUCCUCCAGAACAGGCCACGAGGUGUGGAAAGGAUCACGAAUUAAUCAGUGGACUUUGGUUUUGCUUUGGUGUGCUUGUAUCAUGUCUGAACAUGCAAAGAACUCGGUUUUCCACAAGGAAUCCAGUAAAUGGCACCUCUGUGAAUCA